This is a long non-coding RNA of Lathyrus oleraceus (garden pea), 1069 nucleotides long. RefSeq lists it as uncharacterized. Lineage: Eukaryota; Viridiplantae; Streptophyta; Magnoliopsida; Fabales; Fabaceae. The record is from RefSeq and is a predicted model, not a curated record. The transcript has 3 exons.
UCUCUUCUACAAUCAUCUUCUUCCACACUUGGAUGAAGAGGAAACUUGAAAGGUAAGCUUGUGUGCGAGCUCCCAUUGCUUGCAUGUAAUGCACAUCUCUACAAUCUUGGUCAUUCUUAGAGAAGGCGUUGCAAUUCAUAAGAAAGCAUUGUAUGGGAAAUAAAAAAAGUGAAGAACCAAGGUGAAGGUUGAGGAGCCACACGAAUUUGGAAGGAGGACACAAGAAGUUCACCACUCAUUGCAUCAUCCUUGACUCCAUCAAAGGUUGAAAAUCAUAUGAAGCUUUAAAUUUUACUCGUGCGUACUUAAUAAAGGGAUAUAACUCAUCGUCUUCGUUAUCGUCGUCAUCAUCACCAUCAUCUAUUUCUUCUAAGGUGAGUUUCCUCUCCCUUAGGAUUUGAUCUUGAAUUUAGAAUAGAAAAGUAAUCUUGCAUGUGGCAUUCAUUACAAGAAAAAUGGGUUUUGGCUUCAAUAUUUUAGCGUCACCCACGACUUCGACGCUAAUAGCGUCGGUUUAAUAUCACUACAAGAAAAAUGGGUUUUGGCUUCAAUCAAAUAUAUAUGAAGUCAGACGCCUCCCUCUCUCUUAGUUUCCGAUCUCAAGUGUGACAUCAAGAAGGAAGUUCUCGUAUCUACUCACAAUAUCAAAAUUCAGAGCUUUCAUGAAUGAAGGUUUUCUUAUGGACGUGGAAUGUGAUUACUUGAUUUCUUUAGCGGAAAAACAAAGUUAUGUUAUGUCACUAAUGUGACUAAAGGAGGUGGAGAUGCGUUCCUGGUUGUAGAGGAUGGUACAGUGAACUAGAAAUUGACGCGUGUUUAUCGUGAUAAUUGAAUUUGAUAGUUUCAAAGAAGAGAUUAUUUGGACUUUUAUUACUAAUAACUUGUUUUAAUAUCUUAUGAAGUUGUAGGGGUUUUGAAAAAAAUUAAGUCGGGUUGGUUUAAUAUGUUUUGAUUCCAACCUACAUAAGUUAUGGGAGAAUAAUUUACAAGUAUGGUGUAUAUGUUGUGCCAUAUUUCCGUAAAUAGAUUGUCACCUAAACUUUUUAUUAUUUGUAUUAUGUUGAGUUUA